This is a long non-coding RNA of Sander lucioperca (pikeperch), 196 nucleotides long. RefSeq lists it as uncharacterized. NCBI's taxonomy places the organism in Eukaryota, Metazoa, Chordata, Actinopteri, Perciformes, Percidae. The record is from RefSeq and is a predicted model, not a curated record. The transcript is spliced from 3 exons.
ACACAUUGACUCUCUUACACACAUGUAUUUGCCCACAUGGAUUCUCUAUCCCUUCCUCUCUGACUAGCACAUCACACAUGUACACGCACAGAGACAUGGACACAAACACACACACUACUCUGUCACACAUGCAUGUUCUCUCUCUACCUCCCUCGCACAUACUUCUGUCUAACUACAACAUGCUCCUUUCUCUAAU